GCAUAGUAUCACACCGAUUGUGUGUUUUUAAAGGGAUUACAAUUUUAAAAUAUGGAUAAUAUAUAGCAUUGGACUCAGAAAUUUAAAACAUUUCCAAUAAGGUGCAAGUUUCCAAAAACAAAUGAAUAAUUAAACUGUCAUAAAAUGUUAUGAAAGAAGGAAUUAAAAUGAAUCGGAAACCCAACUCUAAAAUGUAAGUAUACAUGUAUUUUAACUAUCAUAAUUAUUUCCAGAUCAAUUAAAGGAGAAUUUGCUCCGGGGGAAAUUUUUUUUAAAAGGUUAAUUGCCACAAACCACAUUUUGAUCCUUUUCUACAGACUCCACUCAACAAAAUAUGUACAACAUUUUUAUUUCAAACGGAAAACGAGAGUUGAUGAAAUGAUGCAGUAACACAAGUAGACAAUGGUUUAUUAGUGGGCGGGGCACCAACAGUACAAUUCAAGAGUCCGGGUAAAAGUGGUGUCACUUUCGGCGUCCGCGUCUCACGCCCGCGCAGAUAAUUUAGCAAAUUAUAAAUAUAUCAAUAAAUAUUAGGAUCAUUUAUUCGGAAACCACUCAUCGAGUCUUUCUUUCUUCAGCCACUCGAAUCAAUUGAUUGUAUCAAUCUACUAGCACACCAAAAUAAUUGGGAGAAUCCGG
This is a long non-coding RNA of Aethina tumida (small hive beetle), 639 nucleotides long. RefSeq lists it as uncharacterized. Lineage: Eukaryota; Metazoa; Arthropoda; Insecta; Coleoptera; Nitidulidae. The record is from RefSeq and is a predicted model, not a curated record. The transcript has 3 exons.